ACCAGUUGAAAGAACUAUUCUUCCCAAAUGGAAAUGUCUCGGGUCCUAAGAUCUGCUGUUCAAUCUUCAGCAUCUACGCUCUUGAGGUAGAAAGUUUUGAUUACAGCAUUAGAUAAAAACAACAACUCAGGUGCGGAUUUAGACCAUGUCAACUCCUCGGAAACGAUUUUAUCUAAUUCUUUUGCUACAAACAAGUCGAUUUUUAUUUAUUUUAGGGCGGGUUGUAUAUGUUUUAUUCGUAUGUAGAUAGCUGUGUCUUUUUGUUAUAUAUACAUCUAGAAUGUUAUAAAAAGUACUUCAUGCUUUAGGAGUAUUAAACAACAUUUUUGUUUUCGUUAUAAUGUAAAAAGUUCAUUUCACUUGUUGCUUGUUACAUUGGUUAGCUAACACGUGUCACAAGUUCAUUGAGUCAGUUAAAUUUUGUAAAAAAAAUUUAGUAGGCAUUUAUUUAAAAAAAUUAUCGUGUAGUUUUAGUGUAGCUAUAGCUAAUUCUGUUACCUAUUUUAUCACAAGUCUUGGGUGUGGAAAUUGCCUAUGGCUUUGUGUUCAUUUUGAAAAAACGUUGAUGAUGAAUGAUUUACGAAUUCUUGUAUUACGUGUACUGAUAAAGCUGUUGGCUUCUACUGGUUGUUCCCUGUACAUCUGUUUUAAAUACACCACAUAAAAUUGGGGACAAAAACACCUAAUGAAGAUAGCAAAUAAUAUUAAGAAAUCUGGCAUCAAUGAGGUGUUUCGACCAACAAAAUCACGAUCCAGUCAACGUCCAACAAGAAUAACUUUGAAGCUGUGUAUGGUAUUAUGUACUUGUUUACAACUGGAUAUAAAUAUUACAAGAAGUUUCUUGUACGAUAAAAAAUCCCUGUAAUUAGAUUAAUCAAUAAAAAUAACCAAUAAUGUAAAAUUUUGAAAACAUAUUUUGAAAUUAAAUUUCAUCUUAAGGUUUGAAAUGAAUCAAUAAAAACAGUUAAAACUGUUAAGAAUAGAAACAUAUCUAUACACAUAUCAUACAGUAUUUACACUACGUUCUUAUAAGGUUAUCUGAG
Long non-coding RNA from Hydractinia symbiolongicarpus, 1043 nucleotides. RefSeq lists it as uncharacterized. The record is from RefSeq and is a predicted model, not a curated record. The transcript is spliced from 2 exons. NCBI's taxonomy places the organism in Eukaryota, Metazoa, Cnidaria, Hydrozoa, Anthoathecata, Hydractiniidae.